CAGCACAUCGGCUGCAGGCAGGAGGUCCCCUUGCAAAAGCCAGGCUCCCGGCUGCUUCCCUACCCCUGUGCUCCUAGCCCCCUUUCACCACCCUCAAGAAGUGGGUGCAAGAAGUCUUUGCCUGUCUCCACUGGUGCUCUGGGCACUUUUAGGAAUUUCCUGAAGACUUGAAGUCUGUGCCACGAUCGUAAGGCUGAAUGAUACAUUGUCUUGUACCCAUGUCCGCAGGCGUAACGACUCUGCGUCACCAUCUAGAUGCUACUUUGGAUCCAGAGUAAAGGACAGAGGUGGAAAUGCAGCAAACGAUAAAUAAAUGCUUUGUGACUUGCCUUGAAACGAAAGUACUGCUGACUUAUACAUCAACUCUGGCCUCUAUCUAGCCUUUGUGACUGCUCUGUGUGGAAUGAAUUGCAAUUUCCAAAGUUAGAACUAAAGAAGGGACAGACGAAUGUAAUUAGGAGACUUAGGGAAGGAAUACCAGGAGUCUGCCAGGCCGAGCUCUGGGUCAUUAAUAAUGGCCUUCGAUUUGGAUACUGCUCUUUGAGUAGAAGCUUUAGAAAUCUCUGCAUCAGGUGGGGAAAACUGGAGCAGCAAAGCUCUCGUGCCUGGUCUCAAGCUCUGGAAUUGCAGACUGUGGCAAGAAUGUCCAGAUAUUUGUAAUUCCCACCCAGAGUAGAAGCUAAGGAGCCAAACUCUUGGUCUCCGUUACUCUUUUCAGAUGGGGAAUGAGAGUCGGCUCCUCUCCUGGCGCCUGUACUUCACCAACUGUUCCUAAUUAUGAGAGUAUUUGAUGGAACCUAGUUUGAUAAACAAACGAAAAGCCCUUGGUAAUUGUCACAGCGGUGAAAGCAUUUACAUCCAUAGGAAUGGAGAAGAAGUUUUGGAAAGCGCACUGAAACUCCAGCACUCACAACCCAGCUCCACCUUGGCCUGACACCCCGCCCUCCAUCCCACCUGGAUGCUCAUGGGCUUGGCUCCUGGCCACCAUUGACCUUACCUGGAAGCUAAUGGCAUGUAAACCCCGGGGCCCCCUUACGUGUCCAGACACCUUCCCGAGACUCUAAGAGGUGUCCUAGCAAUGUGUGCACUCAGACCGACCUUUAAAAACAUCUACACUCUAA
Acinonyx jubatus (cheetah) is the source of this 1121-nucleotide long non-coding RNA. RefSeq lists it as uncharacterized. The transcript has 2 exons. The record is from RefSeq and is a predicted model, not a curated record. Lineage: Eukaryota; Metazoa; Chordata; Mammalia; Carnivora; Felidae.